This 680-nucleotide ribosomal RNA is filed under the name uncultured Terrimonas sp. RNAcentral's name for it is "bacterial SSU rRNA". It matches the Rfam family "Bacterial small subunit ribosomal RNA", at positions 61 to 732 of the family's 1533-position model. The record is from RNAcentral. Lineage: Bacteria; Pseudomonadati; Bacteroidota; Chitinophagia; Chitinophagales; Chitinophagaceae.
AUCGAGGGGCAGCAGGUCUGUAGCAAUACAGAUGCUGGCGACCGGCAAACGGGUGCGGAACACGUACAGAACCUUCCUUCGAGCGGGGAAUAGCCCAGAGAAAUUUGGAUUAAUACCCCAUAGUAUACUGAAGAGGCAUCUCUUUAGUAUUAAAGAUUUAUCACUUGAAGAUGGCUGUGCGGCUGAUUAGGUAGUUGGCGGGGUAAAGGCCCACCAAGCCUGCGAUCAGUAACUGGUGUGAGAGCACGACCAGUCACACGGGCACUGAGACACGGGCCCGACUCCUACGGGAGGCAGCAGUAAGGAAUAUUGGUCAAUGGACGAAAGUCUGAACCAGCCAUGCCGCGUGAAGGAUGAAGGUCCUCUGGAUUGUAAACUUCUUUUAUAUGGGACGAAAAAAGGGUUUUCUAACUCAACUGACGGUACCAUAUGAAUAAGCACCGGCUAACUCCGUGCCAGCAGCCGCGGUAAUACGGAGGGUGCAAGCGUUAUCCGGAUUCACUGGGUUUAAAGGGUGCGUAGGUGGGUUGGUAAGUCAGUGGUGAAAUCCCCGAGCUUAACUCGGGAACUGCCAUUGAUACUAUCAGUCUUGAAUACCGUGGAGGUCAGCAGAAUAUGUCAUGUAGCGGUGAAAUGCUUAGAUAUGACAUAGAAUACCAAUUGCGAAGGCAGCUGGCUAC